RNAcentral lists this ribosomal RNA (775 nucleotides) under Enterococcus faecium. RNAcentral's name for it is "bacterial SSU rRNA". It matches the Rfam family "Bacterial small subunit ribosomal RNA", at positions 66 to 812 of the family's 1533-position model. Lineage: Bacteria; Bacillati; Bacillota; Bacilli; Lactobacillales; Enterococcaceae. The record is from RNAcentral.
ACGCUUCUUUUUCCACCGGAGCUUGCUCCACCGGAAAAAGAGGAGUGGCGAACGGGUGAGUAACACGUGGGUAACCUGCCCAUCAGAAGGGGAUAACACUUGGAAACAGGUGCUAAUACCGUAUAACAAUCGAAACCGCAUGGUUUUGAUUUGAAAGGCGCUUUCGGGUGUCGCUGAUGGAUGGACCCGCGGUGCAUUAGCUAGUUGGUGAGGUAACGGCUCACCAAGGCCACGAUGCAUAGCCGACCUGAGAGGGUGAUCGGCCACAUUGGGACUGAGACACGGCCCAAACUCCUACGGGAGGCAGCAGUAGGGAAUCUUCGGCAAUGGACGAAAGUCUGACCGAGCAACGCCGCGUGAGUGAAGAAGGUUUUCGGAUCGUAAAACUCUGUUGUUAGAGAAGAACAAGGAUGAGAGUAACUGUUCAUCCCUUGACGGUAUCUAACCAGAAAGCCACGGCUAACUACGUGCCAGCAGCCGCGGUAAUACGUAGGUGGCAAGCGUUGUCCGGAUUUAUUGGGCGUAAAGCGAGCGCAGGCGGUUUCUUAAGUCUGAUGUGAAAGCCCCCGGCUCAACCGGGGAGGGUCAUUGGAAACUGGGAGACUUGAGUGCAGAAGAGGAGAGUGGAAUUCCAUGUGUAGCGGUGAAAUGCGUAGAUAUAUGGAGGAACACCAGUGGCGAAGGCGGCUCUCUGGUCUGUAACUGACGCUGAGGCUCGAAAGCGUGGGGAGCAAACAGGAUUAGAUACCCUGGUAGUCCACGCCGUAAACGAUGA